CCUACGGGGGGCAGCAGUGAGGAAUAUUGGUCAAUGGGCGGGAGCCUGAACCAGCCAAGUCGCGUGAAGGAAGAAGGUACUUAGUAUUGUAAACUUCUUUUGUCGGGGCACAAAGGCGGAGACGCGUCUCCGGAUGAGUGUACCCGAAGAAAAAGCAUCGGCUAACUCCGUGCCAGCAGCCGCGGUAAUACGGAGGGUGCAAGCGUUGUCCGGAAUCAUUGGGCGGAAAGAGUUCGUAGGUGGCACGUUAAGUCUGGUGUUAAAGGCGGAAGCUCAACUUCCGUAGGGCACUGGAUACUGGCGAGCGUGAAUGCGGUAGAGGUAAAGGGAAUUCCUGGUGUAGCGGUGAAAUGCGUAGAUAUCAGGAGGAACAUCGGUGGCGUAAGCGCUUUACUGGGCCGUAAUUGACACUGAGGAACGAAAGCCGGGGUAGCAAAUGGGAUUAGAUACCCUUGUAGUC
RNAcentral lists this ribosomal RNA (460 nucleotides) under uncultured bacterium. Its description in RNAcentral is "partial 16S ribosomal RNA". It matches the Rfam family "Bacterial small subunit ribosomal RNA", at positions 338 to 795 of the family's 1533-position model. The record is from RNAcentral.